RNAcentral lists this ribosomal RNA (253 nucleotides) under uncultured bacterium. Its description in RNAcentral is "partial 16S ribosomal RNA". It matches the Rfam family "Bacterial small subunit ribosomal RNA", at positions 524 to 776 of the family's 1533-position model. The record is from RNAcentral.
UACGUAGGGGGCAAGCGUUGUCCGGAUUUAUUGGGCGUAAAGAGCGUGUAGGCGGCCUGACAGGUCUGCUGUGAAAACUCGAGGCUCAACCUCGAGAUGUCGGCGGAAACCGUCUGGCUAGAGUCCGGAAGAGGAGAGUGGAAUUCCUGGUGUAGCGGUGAAAUGCGCAGAUAUCAGGAAGAACACCUAUGGCGAAGGCAGCUCUCUGGGACGGUACUAACGCUGAGACGCGAAAGCGUGGGGAGCGAACAGG